This 8862-nucleotide long non-coding RNA is filed under the name Homo sapiens (human). Its description in RNAcentral is "HSALNT0401206". The record is from RNAcentral. Lineage: Eukaryota; Metazoa; Chordata; Mammalia; Primates; Hominidae.
AGUCCAGGCAGCCACCAGCUGGCCUGGUCUUGCUGCUUCCUUUAGCGGCUUCCAAGGUCCAGGGACAGGGGGUCUGGGCCACCAAGAGGCUCUGCUAGGCUGUCCCUGCAGCCACAGCCACCCCACUGGACCCCUGCCUCCCAUCUGAGAGGACAGCCCUCUUCCUGGAGCUGGGAUCUGACACUUGCUGAUACCAACGGCAGAUACCAGGUGAGGAAACUGAGGCUCAGAGAAGAAACAUCAUUUUCCCAGUGAGCCAAGGCAAUGGUGUUAGAACUAUCUCUACCUGGCUCCAGAGCUUGUGUUUAUGCCCCUGCACCGAUACGGCCUUCCAUGAAGCCCGGCCCAGAAAGCUUUGGAGUCUGGUUACAUCUCUGCCAUGCAGGCCUGGCCUUCCCAGGACAAGAGGUAACGAGAUGUGAGCAGAAACAACCUGUGUCACACCUGGGCAGAAGCUUUAAAGGCCAGUGCUGCCCUUGUUGGGGAAGCAAGUAUAGAUAUGAAUCGUUCCACAACGCGGAGCGCCCCCUGCCGACCCAUGCUGGGCGUGUACUAUAGAUGAGGAGACUGAGGAUCAGAGAGAUAAAGUCACCUGUCCAAGGUCAUACUGUGGAUGUAGCUCUAACCCAAGCCCUCCCGACUGCAGCACAAAUUCUCAGCCACUACCCUAUUAGCCCCUUCAUUUGAAGGUGUCUUCAUCAUUGCCAAGAUUCCUUUUCCUCCCGGCCCCCUAAGUCUUCAGGAUUCCCUCAUCUCAUCUCCCCAGAGAAGCCAUGACACCAUCUUCUCCAAAAACAAAGUCAGCGCUUUCACUGUAGAUGGACCUGUGUUCUUCCCCCAAACUCAGUCCACCUCAUCUCCAGAAAAACUAUAUGACUUGCCCUGGAGAAGAGGGGGAAAAAAAAACCUCUUCCCACCAACUCCACCUCCCAAAUUACUGGAUUUGGGGUAAAUUUACAGGCUGGAGACAGAAGAAUGGAUGUGUAUUUAGCUUUCAAAUUGACUAUUGUUUUAUGUGAAUGUCUGAUAAAGAAAACACAAUGGCUGCCAGAUGGGGCCUGGGAGUGAGAUUUCCCAUGUGGAGAAUUCUAGAAGACAUGCCUGGAGUUCUGGAGCCUGGAUCCUCUGGACAGACAGGUGGCCAGCUAACCAGGGUGGAGGCACCAAAGAUAACUGUGGGGUGGGGAGAAGACACCAGCCCAAGAGAUUUGACUGGGAUUGGUCUACGCAAGAAUGGAAAAUGGAGGCAGAAUGAGUUAGCAGCAAGCACACGUACACUGCUAUAGAAUCUGAGGGACCCGGCCAGUGCUGGCCAAUAGAAAUAGAAUGUGAGCCACAGACAUAAUUUAAACUUUUCUUGUAGUCACUUAAAAACAUGGUAAAUCUAUGAAAUAGAAGAUUGCUCGUGCAAAUAAAUGAACUCUGCUUUGGUCUCAGUGAUCAGGGGUCCCACACUCAAGUGCCCUCAAUACCCAGAGAAGUAACUGAAAUAAAUGGAACAGAUAGGGUGUGAGCAAAGUUCACACGUUCCUCUAAGAAAAACAAUACAGCAAACAUGGUGAUUUAUGUUCAUUAAUAAGUUUCCGUAUGGGGACACUAAGGAAUAGUGGGGACUACGGCAAAUUAGAGGAAGCAUGAGAAUCUAAAGUGGCUCCAGGAGACUGUUGUCUCAUAGGUAUCAGUGUUGCUAGACCUUCACUUUUUUUAAAGGAGGUGAAAGUUGGGAUUUUCUUUAAUUUAUUUUUUUGACAGGGUCUUGCUCUGUCGCCCAGGCUGGAGUGCAGUGGCGAUCUUGGCUCACGGCAAUCUCCACCUCCUGGGUUCAAGAGAUUCUCCUGCCCCAGCCUCCUAAGUAGCUGGGAUUACAGGCGUGCUCCAGCAUGCCUGGCUAAUUUUUGCAUUUUUAGUAGAGAUGGGAUUUCCCACUGUUGGCCAAGCUGAUCUCGAAUUCCUGACCUCAAGUGAUCUGCCCACCUCCACCUCCCAAAGUGCUGGGAUUACAGGUGUGAGCCACCGGGCCCAGCCUCUAAUUUUUGUAUUUUUUGUAGAGACAGAAUCUUGCUGUGUUCAAGACCAGCCUGGCCAACAUGGCGAAACCCCGUCUCUACUAAAAAUACAAAAAUUAGCUGGGCAGUAGUGGCACGCGCCUGUAAUCCCAGCUACUCCAGAGGCUGAGGCAGGAGAAUUACUUGAACCUGGGAGGCGGAGAUUGCAGUGAGCCCAGAUCGAACCAUUGCAUUCCAGCCUCGGCGACAAGAUUGAGACUCCGUCUCAAAAACAAAAAGCAACAACAAAAAAAAUUGUUUGAAAGCCACUAAUCUGCCCAUAGCCUCUAACUUACAAGUAAGGAAGCUAAGGCCUACAAAUGUCAAGUACCUGAGAUCCUGUGUGUGUCAGGGCUAGAGCUGGGACCACAACCUGCUCCCAGCGCUGAGCCCUGCAGGCAGCUGGGUUUGCCUGGGAAGCUGCCCAGGGGAGCACCCAGGCCUCCCUCCAGUUUCUCUGGCUCUGCCCAGGGCAGGGCCGCCUGCUCUCUCCCUGUCUCCCCACCUCCUCUGCCCUUCGUCAUGCCUGUUUUGACAACUUUCUGACCUGCUCCUUCACAAACUCUGCUGGAGGUAUGGCUGCCUCCACUGCUUGUCCCAGAGAAUACAGAGGCGUUGGCAGUUUGGCGGCCCAGGCUCAGCCAGGCCCAUGGCAGACAGUCGUCAAACAGUGGCUGUCUGGGGAGAGAGAGGUCUGUUUACCCAGGGCAAGGCCCAGGCAGAGGCUGCCGUUUCCUCCCUCCACUACUGGCCCAUCCAGCUGCUCACCCUACUGACUCAGCUGUCCCCAUCUGUAUUUGCUCAUUCCGCAAAUACUUAUGGGGCGCCUACUGUGUGUCAAGCACUGUUCUACAUGCUGGGGAUACAGCAGGGGACAAGACAGCCUAACUCCCUGCUGUCAUGGAACUUCUGUGAAGGAGACAGAUGAUAAACAGAUCAAGGAAUACGUAAUUUCAGCGCUGUAGAGGAUAAUGGAAUUGCUAUCAAGGGAUGGAGGUGGGGCAGGCUUAGAUUUGGGUGUUCAAGGGAGGCUGCUCUGAGUGGAGGACAUUUGAACUAAGGCCCUGACAAUGAGAAGAAAUCAGCUAUGCAAAGAUCUGGGGAAGAGGCAUUCCUGGCAGAGAGAACAGCAAGUACAAAGGCCCAAUGGCAGGAGUGUGCUUGGCGUGAUUGAAGGAUUGUCAAAAGGCCAGUGUGGCUGGGCGUUGUGGCUCACGCCUGUAAUCCCAGCACUUCGGGAGGCCGAGGCGGGCAGGUCACAAGGUCAGGAGAUCGAGACCAUCCUGGCUAACACGGUGAAACCCCGUCUCUACUAAAAAUACAAAAAAUUAGCCGGGCGCAGUGGCGGGCGCCUGUAGUCCCAGCUACUUGGGGGGGCUGAGGCGGGAGAAUGGCGUGAACCCGGGAGGCGGAGCUUGCAGUGAGCCGAGAUCGCGCCACCGCACUCCAGCCUGGGUGAAAGAGUGAGACUCCGUCGCAAAACAAACAAACAAACAAAAAAAACAAAAGUCCAGUGUGGCUGACUGCAGUGACCAAAGGGAGAAAGACGAGAGACCAUCAGACAAGAGUCAGAGCCUGUGAGAGCCUUUUGGUCAAAGAAAAGAGCCCAGGGCCGGGCGCGGCGGCUCACGGGAGGCCAAGGUGGACAAAUCGCUUGAGGUCAGGAGUUUGAGACCAGCCUGGCAACAUGGUAAAACCCUGACUCUAUUAAAAAUACAAAAAUUGCUGGGCAUGGUGACACGCGCCUGUAAUCCCAGCUUCUUGGGAGGCGGAGGUUGCAGUGAGCCAAGAUCAUGCCACUGCACUCUAGCCUGGAUGACAGAGUGAGACUCCAACUCAGAAAAACAAAAGAAAGAAAGAAAGAAAAAGAGCUCAGGUUGUAUUUGAAGGGCGAUACAAAGCUGUUGGAGGAGUUUCAGCUGGGAUGUGAAACAUGGCUGUACUCUGACCUUCUCUAACUCUGCCCCAUUCCCUUCAUGACUUCCUGUCCCAACUGUUUCCAGGUACAUUUGAGAUUGUUUGAAAUAGCGUUUAAAUAUUUUCUUUUCCUUUUAAAUUUUCAUUUAUUUAUUUAUUUUCCUUUCUCUUUUUUUGAGGCAGGGUCUCAGUCUAUCAUCCAAGCUGGAGUGCAGUGGCAUGAUGUUUGUUCACUACAGCCUCGACCUCCUGGGUUCAAACGAUCCCCCCACUCAUCCUCCCAAAAUGCCAGGAUUACAGCAUUUUGAGCCACUGUGGCCGGCCCAGUUUUUUUUUUUUUUUUUUUUUUUUUUUUUGAGAUGGAGUUUUGCUCUUGUUGCCCAGGCUGGAAUGCAAUGGCGUGAUCUCAGCUCACUGAAACCUCCACCUCCCACAUUCAAGAGAUUCUCCUGCCUCAGCCUCCACAGUAGCAGGGAUUACAGGUGCCCGCCACUAUGCCCAGCUAAUUUUUUUGGUAUUAUUAGUAGAGACAGGGUUUCACCAUGUUGGCCAGGCUGGUCUCGAACUCCUGACCUUGUGAUCUGCCCGCCUCGGCCUCCCAAAGUGCUGGGAUUACAGGCGUGAGCCACCGUGCCCAGCCUCUUGUUUGUAUUUCUAAACAUCAUGGUUAUACUGACUUCUCAAGAAAUCAAGACUUCUUGAUUUUUUAGUUAUAGACGUAAUGUGUUAACUUGCUAGUAAGAAAGAUCCUAUACAACUAUAUCCCAAUUUGGAGAUAAAUCAAUAUUUUAAAUUGCAUAACCACAUUACUAUUAUGGCUAUUACUCACAGCUGACUUUGUCUGUAUGUGAACCAAGGUCUUUCCAUGCACUGUUUCAAUUAAUCUUCACUGUAACAUGGUAAUGUAGCUUUGGUCAAUAUCAUUAACAAUACAUACUAACAUUUUACAUUCAAGGAACUUUUUGCAGUUUGCAGGACACUCUUGCCUCUAUCCCCUUGAGCAGCAGAGCUACCCUGAGGGGUAAAUAGAACUAGCAUUAUUAACCCCAUUUUCAGAGGAGGAUGUGGAUCCCAGAAUGAUACAGAAAAUUCUACCCAUCCCAGUAGGGCCCAGUGGUUCAAAUAAAACCCAUCUUCCUGGCAGGGCCUGGUGGCUCACACUUAUAAUCCCAGCACUUUGGGAGGCCGAGGCAGGUGGAUCACUUGAGGUCAUGAGUUCGACACCAGCCUGGCCAACAUGGCAAAAUCCCAUCUCUACUAAAAAUAUAAAAAUUAGCUGGGUGUGGUAAUGCAAACCUGUAAUCCCAGCCACUCAGGAAGCUGAGGCACGAGAAUUGUUUGAACCCAGGAGGUGGAGGUUGUGAUGAGCCAAGAUGGUACCACCGCACUCCAGCCUGGGCCACAGAGUGAGACCCUGUCUCAAAAAAAAAAAAAAAAAAAAAAAAUAUAUAUAUAUAUAUAUAUGUAUAUACACACACACACACAUAUAUGUAUACACACACACACACACACACACACAUAUAUAUAUAUAUUUAUGUCUCAAAAAAAAAAAGCCCAUCUUCCAUCUAGGGAGGAAGGAGUUGGGGACCCUGGACAACUGCGUGAAGGAGAGAUAAACUCUCCUCUCGUGUUUUGGGUUGAUAAGCUGGUAUUGCCUUUUCUAAUACAAUCCUUGAUGUUGAAUUCUAGCUCCGCCUCUCAUGCGCUGCGUGGUUUUGAGUAAGCUAUUUAGUCUCUCUGAGACUUUGUUUUCUCAGAAAUGGGUAUGAUGACAGUACCUACCUCAAUAGACGGUUGUGAGGAUUAAAGGAGUAAUUUAUUUAUUUAUUUAUUUUCUCACUUUGUAGCUCAGGCUGGUCUUGAACUCCUAACCUUAAGUGAGCCUCUUGCCUCAGCCUCCCAAAGUGCUGGGAUUUAAGUGUGCGCCACCAUGUCUGGCCAAGGAGUUAAUUUUUUUUUUUUUUUUGAGACGGAGUGUUGCUCUGUUACCAGGCUGGAGUGCAGUGGUGCGAUCUUGGCUCACUGCAACCUCCGCCUCCUGGGUUCAAGCGAUUCUCCUGUCUCAGCCUCCUGAGUAGCUGGGACUACAGCCAUGUGCCACACCCAGCUAAUUUUUGUAAUUUUAGUAAAGACGGCAUUUCACCAUGUUGGCCAGGAUGGUCUCAAUCUCUUGACCUCAUGAUCUGUCUGCCUCGGCCUCUCAAAGUGCUGGGAUUACAGGUGUUAGCCACCGUGCCUGGCCAAGAAGUUAAUUUUUUUUUUUUUUUUUUGAGACAGAGUUUCGCUUUUGUUGCCCAGGCUGGAGUGCAAUGGCGCGAUCUCGGCUCACCGCAACCUCCGCCUCCUGGGUUCAAGUGAUUCUCCUGCCUCAGCCUCCCGAGUAGCUGGGAUUACAGGCAAGCACCACCACUCCUGGCUAAUUUUGUAUUUUUGGUAGAGAUGGGGUUUCUCCAUGUUGGUCAGGCUGGUCUUGAACUCCUGACCUCAGGUGAUCCACUCACCUUGGCCUCCAAAAGUGUUGGGAUUACAGGCGUGAGCCACCGCACCCGGCCAGGAGUUAAUUUUUAUAAAGUGCUUAGAGUAGUACCUGGGCCAUGGUGUUAUACAAGGAUGAAAAACAACCUAGUGCUAGAAAACAAAUGAGCCGGGUCCCAGAUCUGGGCCUUCUGAUGCCAGGUUUAGUGUGUGGCCCCCAAGCCCUAGACACUUGUAUUCCUCUUCAUACAAUUGUUACCACAUCUGCCUUUUACCUGUACUUUAUUUAUCUAUAAUUGUUUACUUGAUGUUUUCCUUUCUUUUGAAGAUAUACCUUAAUUUUUAAAAGAUAUUUUAUAUUAAUGCUUUAAUAUGCUAUGUAUAAAUUUUUCUAACAUACAAUAAAUGCACAAAGAUUUAAAAGUGUUUGUGGACUACCUACAAUUGGCCCCUGUACUUUGUGGGUUCACCUAAUACAAAGUAUGCUGUUUUUUUUGUUUUUUUCUUUUUGACACAGGAUCUCGCUCUGUUGCCCAGGUUGGAGUACAGUGGCGUGAUCUUGGCUCACUGCAAUCUCCACCUCCUGGGUUUAAGAGAUUCUCCUGCCUCAGCCUCCUGAGUAGCUGGGAUUACAGGUGCGUGCCACCAUGCCCAGCUAAUUUUUGAAUUUUUAGUAGAGAUGGGAUUUCAGCAUGUUGGCCAGGCUGGUCUUGAACUCCUGACCUCAAGUGAUCCGCCCACCUUGGGCUCCCAAAGUACUAGGAUUACAGGCGUGUGCCACUGCGCCCGGCCAAUAGGGACAUUUUGAGAAUUAGGAGUUAAUAUGUGUAAAACCCUAGUAAGUACUCUAUAAAUUUUUGCUAUUAUCACAACAUCAAGCACAAAUCCAUAAAUAUACAUAAAUAAAACAAAAGUUUCAAAAACAUACAUAUCUUACUCUUACUACAUGAAAUGCUCUAUGAUAUUUUCUAUUUUAUUUUAUUUCAUUCUUUUGUUAAAAUGUGAAAUUUCAUAAAGCGAUACAUUGAUGAUUUGUGCCUUUUUCUGUUUUGAAUGUUAUACUUCAGUAAAAAUAUUUUUUAAGUCCAGGUGUGGUGGCAAUUUUUCUGCCUUGACCUCCCAAAGCACUAGGAUUACGCUGUGUCACCCAGGCUGGAGUGUGGUGUUGUAAUCUCGGCUCACAGCAACCUUCACCUCUUGGGCUCAAGCAAUCCUCUUGCCUCAGCCUCCCGAGUAGGUGGGACUACAGGCGUGUACCACCAGGCCCAGCUAAUUUUUGUGUUUUUUGUAGAGGUGGGUUUUUGCCAUAUUGCCCAGGCUGGUCUUGAACUCCUGGGGUCAAGUGAUUCACCCACCUCAGCCUCCCAAAGUGCUGGGAUUACAGGCAUGAGCCACGGCGUCCGGCCAAAUCUUACUUUAGUUAUAACUUAUUGUUUUAGUCUACUUAUAGGUCUAGUAAAUUUUAAGAAUUUCAUUUUCUCCAAUAUUUUACUUUGAAAAAUUUCAAACUUUAAAGUUUGAAAGACUAGUAUAGUGAGCACUGAUGUAUCCCUUCGCCUAAAUUCACCAACUGGUUGCAUUCUGUCACAUUUGCUUUAUUGCUAUCUCUGUAUCUAUCUAUGCACUUUUUUAUUGAAACAUUUUAUGUAAAAAAUUGUAAAGGCCAGGUGCAGUAGCUCACACCUGUAAUCCCGGCAUUUUGGGAGGCUGAUGCAGGAAGAUUGAGGACAGGAGUAGGAAACCAGCCUGUGCAACACAGCAAGACCUGUCACUACAAAAAAAUAAAAAUAAAAAAUUAGCUGGGCAUGGUGGCAUGCACCUGUGGUCCCAGCUACUUGGGAGGCUUAGAUGGAAGGAUUGCUUGAGCUUGGGAGGUUGAGGCUGCAGUGAACCAUGAUUGUGGCUCACUGUAGCCCACAUGACAGAGCAAGACCCUGUUUCAAAAACAACAACAAAACAAAAACAAACCAAAAAAAAAAGAUACUUUUUUAAAUUGUAUAUUUACACUUGUUAUACAUAUUUAACGUGUGUGUGUGGAGGGACGUGUGAGCAUGACCCUACUGCACAGACGAUCAACUGUGUACCAACUAAUUCACGCUCCCCUUUACAAACUUUACAGCUAGUCCCGCCCCGCUAGGGACCACAUCUUCCAGACCCCCUUGCAUUUGGCAAGGGCCAUGUGACUAGUUCUCACCAAUGGAAUGUGAGUAGAAGUGAAAGUGUCUUUCUGGGCUAGGGUGACCUUAGGGGUCCCUGGAUGACUAUGCCACAGAGGUCAAUAAACUUCUAACUUAAAGUCUGCAUUUGCUUGUUACAUAAGCUAUAUUGUCUGAACUAAUAUAAUCCCAAUAAAUUGAAGGACCGGCUGGGCACGGUGGCUCACACCUGUAACCCCAGCACUUUGGGAGGUCGGGGCAGGUGGAUC